This 330-nucleotide ribosomal RNA is filed under the name uncultured Dinobryon. RNAcentral's name for it is "partial Bacterial large subunit ribosomal RNA". It matches the Rfam family "Bacterial large subunit ribosomal RNA", at positions 168 to 578 of the family's 2925-position model. Lineage: Eukaryota; Chrysophyceae; Chromulinales. The record is from RNAcentral.
AUUAAAAAAAAACAAAUUAAGUGAAGUAAAACAUUUUAUUAACUUAAAAAGAAAUCAACCGAGAAUUUGUUAGUAGUGGCGAGCGAAUACAAAACAAAAAUUUGUACUAAAAAAUGUUAAGUAGAAAUCCACAGAAGGUUCUAGUCCUGUAACCAUAGCAUUUUUAGUACAUUCUAUAACAAAAAAUGCAGUUUUGUUAAAGCAAGAGGAUCUACCCUCUGAUUUUCAAAUAUUAAUAACCGAUAGUGAACUAGUACCGUGAGGGAAAGGUGAAAAAGAACUUUUUUAGAGUUAAAAGAUCCUAAAAUUUAAUGUAAACAAUCUGUUGAA